RNAcentral lists this ribosomal RNA (255 nucleotides) under Mycolicibacterium austroafricanum. RNAcentral's name for it is "partial 23S ribosomal RNA". It matches the Rfam family "Bacterial large subunit ribosomal RNA", at positions 921 to 1173 of the family's 2925-position model. The record is from RNAcentral. Lineage: Bacteria; Bacillati; Actinomycetota; Actinomycetes; Mycobacteriales; Mycobacteriaceae.
AUGGGCCUCACAAGGUUACUGACGUCAGCCAAACUCCGAAUGCCGACACGGUGUAAUGCGGCAGUGAGACGGCGGGGGAUAAGCUCCGUGCGUCGAGAGGGAAACAGCCCAGAUCGCCGGCUAAGGCCCCUAAGCGUGUGCUAAGUGGAAAAGGAUGUGCAGUCGCGAAGACAACCAGGAGGUUGGCUUAGAAGCAGCCACCCUUGAAAGAGUGCGUAAUAGCUCACUGGUCAAGUGAUUGUGCGCCGAUAAUGU